AGAGUAUCAUCCUCUUUUUGUUGCUACCAAAAUGUAAAUUUUCUUAUAAAUUAUACUCUG
RNAcentral lists this transfer RNA (60 nucleotides) under Ciona intestinalis (vase tunicate). Its description in RNAcentral is "transfer RNA-Ser (AGY)". Lineage: Eukaryota; Metazoa; Chordata; Ascidiacea; Phlebobranchia; Cionidae. The record is from RNAcentral.